This 645-nucleotide ribosomal RNA is filed under the name uncultured bacterium. Its description in RNAcentral is "bacterial SSU rRNA". It matches the Rfam family "Bacterial small subunit ribosomal RNA", at positions 28 to 669 of the family's 1533-position model. The record is from RNAcentral.
GAUGAACGCUGGCGGCGUGCCUAAUACAUGCAAGUCGAACGGGGAUAGCAAUAUCCUAGUGGCGAACGGGUGAGUAACACGUAGGUAACCUGCCUUUUAGUUUGGGAUACCCAGAGGAAACUUUGGUUAAUACCGGAUAUGAGUCUUAGAGGCAUCUCUAGGAUUUGAAAGGGGCUUCAAAGCCCCGCUUUAAGAUGGACCUGCGGCGCAUUAGCUUGUUGGUGAGAUAACAGCCCACCAAGGCUCGGAUGCGUAGCCGAUCUGAGAGGAUGAACGGCCACAUUGGAACUGAGACACGGUCCAAACUCCUACGGGAGGCAGCAGUAAGGAAUUUUCGGCAAUGGGGGAAACCCUGACCGAGCAACGCCGCGUGAGUGAUGAAGGUCUUUUGAUCGUAAAACUCUGUUGUUAGGGAUGAACUAUACUUCUAGGAAAUGAGAAGUAUUUGACAGUACCUAACCAGAAAGCCACGGCUAACUACGUGCCAGCAGCCGCGGUAAUACGUAGGUGGCAAGCGUUAUCCGGAAUUAUUGGGCGUAAAGAGUGAGCAGGCGGCAGUUUAAGUCUGGAGUGAAAGCGUGAAGCUCAACUUCAUACAGCUCCAGAAACUGAACAGCUAGAGUACGGGAGAAGUAAGUGGAAUUC